This 252-nucleotide long non-coding RNA is filed under the name Olea europaea (common olive). RNAcentral's name for it is "long non-coding RNA (OEUR_LNC013833)". Lineage: Eukaryota; Viridiplantae; Streptophyta; Magnoliopsida; Lamiales; Oleaceae. The record is from RNAcentral.
UUAGAAGUUAGCAUUUCAAAAGAUUGCUUUUUUAAAAGUCUUUACCUAUUUUCUUCAAAAACCACAUUACAUAUAUAAUCAGAUUCAGGCACAAAAUUCAACUUACAUGAACAUCAUAAACCCUGUGCGUGAAAUGCACUAACAACCACAAAUCUUUCAUUAACGUUAAGUAUAAAUCAAUCCAAUCUACUCUAUUGAUCAAUCAUAAAUUUCGCUAUACGCACCUGUAAUAGCAACAUAGAAUACACUCGG